UACGGAGGGGGCUAGCGUUGUUCGGAAUUACUGGGCGUAAAGCGCACGUAGGCGGCUUUGUAAGUUAGAGGUGAAAGCCCGGGGCUCAACUCCGGAACUGCCUUUAAGACUGCAUCGCUAGAAUUGUGGAGAGGUGAGUGGAAUUCCGAGUGUAGAGGUGAAAUUCGUAGAUAUUCGGAGGAACACCAGUGGCGAAGGCGGCUCACUGGUCCGGUACUGACGCUGAGGUGCGAAAGCGUGGGGAGCAAACAGG
RNAcentral lists this ribosomal RNA (253 nucleotides) under uncultured bacterium. Its description in RNAcentral is "partial 16S ribosomal RNA". It matches the Rfam family "Bacterial small subunit ribosomal RNA", at positions 524 to 776 of the family's 1533-position model. The record is from RNAcentral.